CCUACGGGAGGCAGCAGUCGGGAAUAUUGGACAAUGGGCGGAAGCCUGAUCCAGCCAUGCCGCGUGUGUGAAGAAGGCCUUCGGGAUGUAAAGCACUUUUGUUGGGGAAGAAAAGCACUGGGUUAAUUCCCUGGUGUCAUGACGGUACCCAAAGAAUAAGCACCGGCUAACUUCGUGCCAGCAGCCGCGGUAAUACGAAGGGUGCAAGCGUUACUCGGAAUUACUGGGCGUAAAGCGUGCGUAGGCGGUUUGUUAAGUCUGUCGUGAAAGCCCCGGGCUCAACCUGGGAAAGCGUGCGUAGGCGNCUUGUUAAGUCUCUCGUGAAAGCCCCGGGCUCUACCUGGGAAUGGCGAUGGAUACUGGCGUGCUAGAGUACGGUAGAGGAGAGUGGAAAUGCCGGUGUAGCAGUGAAAUGCGUAGAGAUGGGGAGGAACAUCAGUUGCGAAGGCGGGUCUCUGGACCAGUACUGACGGUGAGGCACGAAUGCGUGGGGAGCAAACACGAAUAGAUACCCUGGUAGUCCACGCCGUAAUC
RNAcentral lists this ribosomal RNA (534 nucleotides) under uncultured bacterium. Its description in RNAcentral is "bacterial SSU rRNA". It matches the Rfam family "Bacterial small subunit ribosomal RNA", at positions 338 to 807 of the family's 1533-position model. The record is from RNAcentral.